RNAcentral lists this ribosomal RNA (255 nucleotides) under uncultured bacterium. RNAcentral describes it as "partial 16S ribosomal RNA". It matches the Rfam family "Bacterial small subunit ribosomal RNA", at positions 524 to 776 of the family's 1533-position model. The record is from RNAcentral.
UACGGGGGGGGCAAGCGUUGUUCGGAUUUACUGGGCGUAAAGGGCGCGUAGGCGGCCACCGCAAGUCGGUUGUGAAAUCUCCGGGCUUAACCCGGAAAGGUCAAUCGAUACUGCGGGGCUAGAGUGCAGAAGGGGCAACUGGAAUUCUCGGUGUAGCGGUGAAAUGCGUAGAUAUCGAGAGGAACACCUGCGGCGAAGGCGGGUUGCUGGGCUGACACUGACGCUGACAGCGCGAAAGCUAGGGGAGCGAACGGG